GAUGAACGCUGGCGGCGUGCUUAACACAUGCAAGUCGAACGGAAAGGCCCAAGCUUGCUUGGGUACUCGAGUGGCGAACGGGUGAGUAACACGUGGGUGAUCUGCCCUGCACUUCGGGAUAAGCCUGGGAAACUGGGUCUAAUACCGGAUAGGACCACUUCUUGGAUGUUGUGGUGGAAAGUUUUUUCGGUGUGGGAUGAGCUCGCGGCCUAUCAGCUUGUUGGUGGGGUAAUGGCCUACCAAGGCGUCGACGGGUAGGCGGGCUGGGAGGGUGUACGGCCACAUUGGGACUGGGAUACGGCCCAGACUCCUACGGGGGGCAGCAGUGGGGAAUAUUGCACAAUGGGCGCAAGCCUGAUGCAGCGACGCCGCGUGGGGGAUGACGGCCUUCGGGUUGUAAACUCCUUUCGCUAGGGACGAAGCGUUUUGUGACGGUACCUGGAGAAGAAGCACCGGCUAACUACGUG
Molecule: ribosomal RNA, 467 nt
Filed under: uncultured bacterium
Lineage: Bacteria
Description: partial 16S ribosomal RNA
Rfam family: Bacterial small subunit ribosomal RNA
Source: RNAcentral